This 273-nucleotide ribosomal RNA is filed under the name Staphylococcus aureus. Its description in RNAcentral is "partial 23S ribosomal RNA". It matches the Rfam family "Bacterial large subunit ribosomal RNA", at positions 2644 to 2925 of the family's 2925-position model. Lineage: Bacteria; Bacillati; Bacillota; Bacilli; Caryophanales; Staphylococcaceae. The record is from RNAcentral.
GUCGUGGGCGUAGGAAAUUUGAGAGGAGCUGUCCUUAGUACGAGAGGACCGGGAUGGACAUACCUCUGGUGUACCAGUUGUCGUGCCAACGGCAUAGCUGGGUAGCUAUGUGUGGACGGGAUAAGUGCUGAAAGCAUCUAAGCAUGAAGCCCCCCUCAAGAUGAGAUUUCCCAACUUCGGUUAUAAGAUCCCUCAAAGAUGAUGAGGUUAAUAGGUUCGAGGUGGAAGCAUGGUGACAUGUGGAGCUGACGAAUACUAAUCGAUCGAAGACUU